This 468-nucleotide ribosomal RNA is filed under the name uncultured bacterium. RNAcentral describes it as "partial 16S ribosomal RNA". It matches the Rfam family "Bacterial small subunit ribosomal RNA", at positions 28 to 507 of the family's 1533-position model. The record is from RNAcentral.
GACGAACGCUGGCGGCGUGCUUAACACAUGCAAGUCGAACGGAAAGGCCCUGCUUUUGUGGGGUGCUCGAGUGGCGAACGGGUGAGUAACACGUGAGUAACCUGCCCUUUACUUUGUGAUAACUUCAGGAAACUGGGGCUAAUACCUGAUAGGAUCUCCUGCUGCAUGGUGGGGGUUGGAAAGUUUCGGCGGUUGGGUAUGGACUCGCGGCUUAUCAGCUUGUUGGUGGGGUAGUGGCUUACCAAGGCUUUGACGGGUAGCCGGCCUGAGAGGGUGACCGGGCAAAUUGGGACUGAGAUACGGACCAGACUGCAACGGGAGGCAGCAGUGGGGAAUAUUGCACAAUGGGCGGAAGCCUGAUGCAGCAACGCCGCGUGCGGGAUGACGGCCUUCGGGUUGUAAACCGAUUUCGCCUGUGACGAAGCGUGAGUGACGGUAAUGGGUAAAGAAGCACCGGCUAACUACGUG